Molecule: long non-coding RNA, 2840 nt
Organism: Spinacia oleracea (spinach)
Lineage: Eukaryota; Viridiplantae; Streptophyta; Magnoliopsida; Caryophyllales; Amaranthaceae
Exons: 3
Source: RefSeq, a predicted model, not a curated record
AUAAAACUCAGACAACAAACAACAAUUCAUAGCAAAUUAAUCCAAAGAAAGCUACUUUCUAAAGCCCUUAGAAACUCCCUUGUUUCAUACUUGUUCUUGACCACCACUAUAGCCACCAUGGCUCCUCCACCACUGCAAACUAUUUCUGCUACCGUCAUCAACAUGACACUCCUUACAGAAAGCACAAACGAGUAACAACCAAUACCCACAAAUGUCGUGCCUAAGUUGUAUAUUCUGUUGCUGAAACCGCACCCGAACUCGGGUAUUACCUCUUUCUCUCUCUCAUAACCGAUGCGAACAACCACCACAACAACCACCCAUACCACCGCCCAUAAAAUCUGGUGAGUUUUCCAGCCACCAUGGACGCCACCCUUGUUUGGUCGUCGUCCGCUCACGCAACUCCAUCUCCCUCCUCUUCUUCAUACUCUUUUAUUAAGAAAGGAGUAAUUAAUUGGUCCUCAAAACUUAGGAUGAAGAUCCAUCAAACAGGAAGUAUAAACUACGGUUGAGGUACAAAGAAGAUCAUAGGAUGCCUUAGAGUGAGGAUGCAACCACCAAAUUCACGAUCGAUGUUCAGUAAAGAUAACUAUGUCUCACUAGUAAUAAUGGAUGUAUUAUUUAAACUCUAAGUUUAAUUUCAAGAAUUGAAUAUUAAUAUUUAAUCAAUGCUAGAAGUGUUUAUUAUUAAAGAUUAUUUAGUAAUUUAAAAAGGUUAUGUCGCCUUAUAUUUUCCACGAGGGAGAUACGACAUGUGACGCUCCGACUAAGCUAGGAUUUUCCGCUGCUAAUUAAAGAUAAUUAACCUAAUUAAUGGUGUUUAGAAGUCGGGGUGUUACAGUUUGGUAUUCAGAGCCAAGGUUCUGCGACCAUAAGUGCUAAACCUUACGGGUUUUGCACGAAAUAAAAAUUCAAUAGGCGUUAAGCAAGAAUUUUAAGGAAUAAGUUAAAAAAGAAUAUGUUAAAAUCAAGUCAAGUUAAAAUGGAAUGAGUUUGAGUGUAGGAACGGGAUAAAAGGGAUUUAUUUCUUCUGUUAUUUAUGUUUUCUUGAUUGAAUAUGUUAUGCAAAAUAUCGACUAUCGAGGUUACUAACGAUGCCACGAACGAAGCUUACAAGCGCAACAUUCACGAUGACGUCGUCCACAAUGAUGUUUUCCAUGUUGAUAUUUAUGACGACCAACCUAUAGAAGACCACAAGAGAUGAUGGAACGAUUAGGAACGACAAGUACGAUGUUAACUGAAUUAGUCAAAGAUUCUCGACAAACGAAAGACACUAAAGCGAACGAAAAUGCUUCACCAUACGAAAAAAAAUUCACACUCAAAUCCACCAAUCUAUGACGACAAGCCCGAUUCGAUGGAACAUGAAAAAUGGAUCAACCAGAUAGAUCAACUAUUCAAAACUUUGUAAUGCCCGACGAAUAGGAAGCAAGUGUCGUGCAGAAACGAAUACAUGUUAUCGAUGUGGAGGAAAGAUCAUUUCGCGAGAGACUGUCCUAAACCACCUUUCACGAAUACAGGAGGAGAAACCUCGACCGAUCACGGACGGAGCAACGAUGCUAAGGUUAAUCAUAAUCCAUCACGACCACCAAUAUACGUAAGAGCUUACAUGAUGAAAGACGAAGAUGACGCCAAUGCUGAUAUUAUUUUAAUUUAUCUCUCUCACUCUGGAACCGAACUUCCCUUGAUUUUAUGUUUAUCGAGUUUCUUACCCUGGACAGACUACGCAAAGUUUAAGCAUUACUAUUUUCUUGGAAGAAGUUAAGUUAAGCACGAUGCAAACUCAAAGAAUUUGUGGAUAUGAACUUUUAUGGUUAUGAAAUCUUUAAGGAUAGUAGAAAUGUUUAAGUACCAAACGAGAAUAAGGUUGUAUUUCACGAGUGGUGGAUCAUUAAUUAAGUAAAGGUUAUUCUAGGAUUAAAGUGUUCAAGUUAAGAAUGAAAUUGAUUUUAGGGUUAUCUUCCUGUGUUAUUCACCAUGAAUAUUUUGGUGGUUAUAAGUACAAAAGUCUACUAUCUAAAUGAUGAUUGAUAUGCCUCUGUUAGGGAAGCUAAGCUAGAAAUUUUAAAGGUUAUGCAAGAAUAUUAUGCGAAAUCGAGCAUGAUUUAUGGUGAAAAUAUGAAAGUGGGUUUGCAUAUAAAGUUUUGAGGACCUUACCAAAAUAAGUUAUUGAGAAUUAGUUUGUCUAUUAGGUUGAUGAUAUCAAUGAAUGUUAUGGAAUCGAAGAGAAUUAUGAAUGAUUGAGGAAUGCAAUGAAAUUGGGAAUAGAAAGUCGAAAAAAUGACAUGUCUAUGGAACCAGGUAGUCUGAACUAAGUUCUCUAGGAGCUAGGCACGCUUGAUGGCUUAGUAUUAUCUGCAAAAUACGAGAUUUACUAACUUAAAAUAUCAAGGAUAAGUAACGAAGUCAUAUGUCUAACGAUAUAUUUCUAGUCACGUGAUUGGACUCGAACCCCUGCAACGAACGUAGUCAACGAAGUUAUCCAACGUAGAAGAAAAGAUCUGAGAUCAAAAUCAAAACAAAUCAACUAGAGAAAGUCAACGACAAGAUUCCUGCAGCAAAGAAGCGCAAGAGCAAACGAAAACGCAAUAUCUCCAAUUAGUCGCCCAAGAAUGAUAUAAUGUACGAAUCGCAAUGUUUUAUGUAAACGUGUUAUGAAUCAACCAUGCUCGUGUGUUAGAUCAAAUGAUUAUGAUAGGAAUGUUAUUCUUAUGUUGAAUGUGAAAUUUUCAAUUAUGUCUUUAUGAUAUGCUUUGUGGAAAAUGUUUAUGCUGAUAUGAUUGUAUUGGUAAUAUAAUCGUCAUACAAGGAAGCCGUCUUCGAUGGAAGUUCUCCUGAGCUCAGAG